CGUGAUAUAGCUCAAUGGCAGAGCGGGUGCCUUAUAAGCGCUUGAUUCUUGUUCAAUUCAAGGUAUCACGACCA
Molecule: transfer RNA, 74 nt
Filed under: Eubacterium sp.
Lineage: Bacteria; Bacillati; Bacillota; Clostridia; Eubacteriales; Eubacteriaceae
Also listed under: 7 other names
Description: tRNA-Ile
Rfam family: tRNA
About the family: Transfer RNA (tRNA) molecules are approximately 80 nucleotides in length. Their secondary structure includes four short double-helical elements and three loops (D, anti-codon, and T loops).
Source: RNAcentral